This is a non-coding RNA of Manis javanica (Malayan pangolin), 561 nucleotides long. Lineage: Eukaryota; Metazoa; Chordata; Mammalia; Pholidota; Manidae. The record is from RefSeq and is a predicted model, not a curated record.
CUUUUCAGCUCAGCAGUCAUACCACUUGACCUUAUCCUCAGAGAAACACUUGUACAUGUGUUCAAGGAAGCAUGCCUAAGGAUGUUCAUGGAGAAUUGUUUAUAAGGAGGAGGUGAGUUGAGGAUCUUCCUCCAUCACCAUCUUGAAUUGGAAUUGGGAACCAAAAACUCUCUUUUGGAAUCAGUCAUUCCCAGUCCAGUCCCCAUAUUCAGAAGUGUCAAGUCUCUGAUCACAUGCCAAAAUAAAGACUCCCUUUUGUUUGGAUCAUAAAUUAUUUUAACACCAGAAAAAUAUUAAAACUAGAAAGGAAGAAAGGAACAUUCUUGUUUUGGCAUGUCACCUGGGGGAGCCCUGCCAUUUGGAAAGAAGCACCCGACAUGGCACCUUUGGAUGUGACUCUGUGACUCUGGACAUAGGGAUGGAGCACUGGUGCUCAAGGCCUGGCCGGUGGCUGCAGCCCACCCCAGACUGGGGUCAUAAACCUUAAAGCCCUAAAUGUAACAAGAUGCUCAGUCUAACUCAUAGUACACUUUUGUUGCCUAUAAAUUUGGCAAAGUUUUA